UUCGGCUACGGCAGAACAUAUACUAAAAUUGGAACGAUACAGAGAAGAUUAGCAUGGCCCCUGCGCCAAAACGCUAUUAUUAUUGGGUAAAUUGCCACAUUCGU
Molecule: small nuclear RNA, 104 nt
Organism: Anastrepha obliqua
Lineage: Eukaryota; Metazoa; Arthropoda; Insecta; Diptera; Tephritidae
Source: RefSeq, a predicted model, not a curated record